RNAcentral lists this ribosomal RNA (465 nucleotides) under uncultured bacterium. RNAcentral's name for it is "partial 16S ribosomal RNA". It matches the Rfam family "Bacterial small subunit ribosomal RNA", at positions 339 to 795 of the family's 1533-position model. The record is from RNAcentral.
CUACGGGCUGCUCCAGUGAGGAAUUUUGCGCAAUGGGGGGAACCCUGACGCAGCAACGCCGCGUGAGUGAAGAAGGCCUUUGGGUCGUAAAGCUCUGUCAACAGGGAAGAAGUUACUUCAUAUUAAUAGUGUGUAGUAUUGACGGUACCUGUGGAGGAAGCAUCGGCUAACUCCGUGCCAGCAGCCGCGGUAAUACGGGGGAUGCAAGCGUUAUUCGGAAUCAUUGGGCGUAAAGGGCACGCAGGCGGCUCUGUCAGUCAGAUGUGAAAGCCCGGGGCUCAACCCCGGACGUGCAUUUGAAACAGCAGAGCUUGAGUACGGUAGAGGAAAGCGGAAUUCCUGGUGUAGAGGUGAAAUUCGUAGAUAUCAGGAGGAACACCGGUGGCGAAGGCGGCUUUCUGGACCGAAACUGACGCUGAGGUGCGAAGGCGUGGGUAGCGAACAGGAUUAGAUACCCGGGUAGUC